This 611-nucleotide long non-coding RNA is filed under the name Ananas comosus (pineapple). RNAcentral describes it as "long non-coding RNA (ACOM_LNC027777)". The record is from RNAcentral. Lineage: Eukaryota; Viridiplantae; Streptophyta; Magnoliopsida; Poales; Bromeliaceae.
ACGGCGAGUUCACAUGGUGAAAGAACAAUAAAAUGAAUCAUAUGGUAGUAAAGUGAAACGUUUCAAACCACACAGUGCUGCACCACGAGGGGCUUUGUAACGACCCAAUCCACUAGCAAUAAUAAUUUGUUGGGCCAAACCACAGGCCCAAAAUGUUUAAGCCCAGUUAUUAUUACUAGCGUGUAGGUCUCAUAUAAACCGAUCGGAAUCAGCCCUGUUUAGACCCUGACGUCCUCGUCGGGUUCAAACCAGAUCACAGACAAACAAAUCAGGACCAUUACUAGGUGAUGUGAGAUUCUAGAGGUGGCUCCUACGGGUUCAAGAGGUGGCUCCCACCAAACCCGUUGGUGUAGCACUUUGUCCCGCAUAGCACUUAGUUCUCACACUUUCGGCUGAUAUUCGGUUCUGAUACCAAUUGUAACGACCCAACCCACUAGCAAUAAUAACUCAUUGGGCCAAACCACAGGCCCAAAAUGCUUAAGCCCAGUUAUUAUAACUAGCGUGUAGGUCUCAUAUAAACUGAUCGGAAUCAGUAUCCCAUCCGAUGUGAGACUAUUGGGUGCGUUACAGGCUUAGUUGUAAUUAUUAGAUUUUCAAGCUUAAUGGCAACU